This is an RNA transcript of Papaver somniferum (opium poppy), 1788 nucleotides long. It is a transcript of the gene named histone deacetylase 18-like, with no coding region annotated. The record is from RefSeq and is a predicted model, not a curated record. The transcript has 10 exons. Lineage: Eukaryota; Viridiplantae; Streptophyta; Magnoliopsida; Ranunculales; Papaveraceae.
UUUGCCCCAAUUCUCAUCUUUCCAUUUGUUCCUCUCUCUCUCUCGUUUUUCGUGUGUAGUUGAAGAUCAUGGAGAAUCAACCGGAUAAGAUGGCACAAGGCCAUACAACAAUGGUAGGAGAUUCAGCAUCUAGUGGACUGAAAAUUAUCAUAAGAAGAAGAGCUAAAUCUGUUUCUGCUGUUGAAAAACAGGUUAUCAACGAAAAAGUUCUUCAUACCCUUGGCACGGAUAAGACAUAUGAAAAGACAGUAAACAGAGUCGGUCUUGUUUCUCACCACGAUAGUAUGAUCAUGCAUGAAGCAGGUGGAGAGCACGAUGAGUGACCUCAGAGAAUCAUCUCCAUCUGGGAUUUGGUAGAGAAAAAAGGGCUGGAUAAGCGGUGUGAAGUAAUCAAAUGUGUGAGGGCAAAAAAUGAAUUGAUCCUGAAACUGCACUCAAAGGAGCAUCUGGACUUCAUGAAGGCUCCAUGUUCUAGAACCAAUGCUGUAAAAAAGAAUAGCUACAGAAAUAAUGACGUCUAUUUUAAUAGAUCUACUUCUGAGGCUGCAUUUAUUGCGGUCCGUUGUUGAGGCUGCCAAGAGAGUGGCAAAGGAUUUGGAUUAUGCGGUGGCCUUGGUAAGGCCUCCCGGUCAUCAUGCCGUAGAAGAUCAGCCAAUGGGUUUUCGUUAUUUCAAUAACGUCGCUGUUGCUGCCCAAUGCCUCUUAGAUGAGCCUAAAAAUGGAAUAAAGAAAAUUCUGAUUGUGGACUGGGAUGUCAACCACGGAAACGGGACACAAGAUUUGUUCUAUCAGAAUCCCAUGUACUGGUCUUUUCAGUACACAGAUACCAAGACAAAUUUUUUCCUGAAACUGGAUCACACACUGAAAUAGGAGAAGGGCCUGGCUUGGGUUUCAACGUCAAUGUCCCGUGGAAACAGAAUGGGAUGGGCGAUCGUGAAUACUUUCUCGUCUGGGAUUCAAUUUUACUCCCAAUUAUUAGGGAUUUCAAACCUGAUGUCUGUUUAGUAUCAGCUGGCUUUGAUUCAGUGUAUUUUUCUGUGUAGCUAUUGGAGAUCGUUUGGGAGAUUGCUGCGUCUCACCUUAUGGGUUUUCGGUACUCACCAAAAAGCUUAUGGACGUGAAUGCGAAAAUGCUGCUUGUCUUGGAGGGUGGUUACAACAACACCUCCACUGCGAAAUGUGCGGUCGCCUGUUUGGAAACGUUGCUUAAUGACACUGUUAUUGAGAAUCCACUCAACUCCGUGAUCGAAAGCAUUGAAGAUGUUCGCAGUGUAUUGCUGCCAUACUGGUCAUGUCUUGGAAAAGACGCCAACAGUAACCCGGAUGAGGUUACCUCACUAAAGCAGGAAAAUGCCAGGCAGGCUACAAGAAUCUUAGAGCUCGAAGCAAAACUAAAAAGAGUUCAGGAAAACCCCAGCCAGGCAUCAAGAGUACUAGAACUAGAAGCGAAGUUACAAGAGAUUCAAAAAAAUUCGAAAUUGUAAACACGGUCACCAUUAUUGUGAAUUUAAGUUUAAUCUUCUUAUAUCUGUAAGUGUUGUUGGCGAGUUAAAUUUUCGGGUAUCAACACCUAGCUACUCAACAACGCUAUUUGUGAAGCAUAUGCCAUUUCCCUGUUUCAAGUCUCAGUAGUUUAGCAGAUGUCGUCACAUGAAAAUAAUAACAAAAUGUAUUUUGUGCGCUCAGUCUAAAAGGGUGAUAUGUUAAUAGGGAGUUUGGUGUGUUUACUGCCAUUGCCAUUGUUGCUACAACAUUUGGAAUGGAAUUUUCCCGAGAUUCUGAUUGACAA